UACGGAGGGUGCAAGCGUUGUUCGGAAUUAUUGGGCGUAAAGGGCGCGUAGGCGGGUGUGAAAGUCGAUUGUGAAAGCCCCGGGCUUAACCUGGGAAUUGCAGUCGAUACUCCACAUCUUGAAUGCUUGAGAGGGUGGUGGAAUUCCUGGUGUAGAAGUGAAAUUCGUAGAUAUCAGGAGGAACACCGGAGGCGAAGGCGGCCACCUGGCAAGACAUUGACGCUGAGGCGCGAAAGUGCGGGGAG
RNAcentral lists this ribosomal RNA (245 nucleotides) under uncultured bacterium. RNAcentral's name for it is "partial 16S ribosomal RNA". It matches the Rfam family "Bacterial small subunit ribosomal RNA", at positions 524 to 768 of the family's 1533-position model. The record is from RNAcentral.